UUAAUGAAUAUACAUAUGUGCCAAUGAAGAAACUUAUAAGAAUAGAAAAGAAGAUCAAAACUUUUCAUCAAUAACAUCUAUAAAAACUAAAAUUAAGAUUCAAGUAAUUAUUAACUAUAAAAUAAAUCAAGUUCAAUGAAGAUUACAUUCCAUCUUUUAUUUAUGGUGUUUUAAAGAAAUUUAUAUAAGCCUCAAUAAUGAUCAAAUAUCAUAGUGGUCUUUUUGUUCUAGUAUGAAAUAUUAUCAAUAAGAAAGAAGACCUAUCAACUACCUUUACAGGAAACAAAGAUCAAAGUAUGCAACAAAUAUAAUACAUUACAUCAUGAAUUCUUUCAACAUCUGAUCUUCACACC
This 353-nucleotide long non-coding RNA is filed under the name Physcomitrium patens. RNAcentral's name for it is "long non-coding RNA (PPAT_LNC014492)". Lineage: Eukaryota; Viridiplantae; Streptophyta; Bryopsida; Funariales; Funariaceae. The record is from RNAcentral.